RNAcentral lists this transfer RNA (74 nucleotides) under Pelecanus crispus (Dalmatian pelican). It matches the Rfam family "tRNA". Rfam says of the family: Transfer RNA (tRNA) molecules are approximately 80 nucleotides in length. Their secondary structure includes four short double-helical elements and three loops (D, anti-codon, and T loops). The record is from Rfam by way of RNAcentral. Lineage: Eukaryota; Metazoa; Chordata; Aves; Pelecaniformes; Pelecanidae.
GCUAGGUUAGCUCAGUUGGUUAGAGCAUGGUGCUAAUAACACCAAGUUCACAGGUUCAAUCCCUGCUUACUGCA